This is a long non-coding RNA of Canis lupus familiaris (dog), 1067 nucleotides long. RefSeq lists it as uncharacterized. Lineage: Eukaryota; Metazoa; Chordata; Mammalia; Carnivora; Canidae. The record is from RefSeq and is a predicted model, not a curated record. The transcript has 3 exons.
GAGGAGAAGCAGGCCCCUUAAGCUGGGGCUUCUUUUGUUAAUCUUUUUUACAAUUAGAUCAAGAAUUCUGUAGCAAUCUGCUUCACUAUAGUGACAAGAAGCCCCAGUCACAGUGGCUUAAAAUUCCAAACGUAUGUCUCUUGCUUUGUUAUCUUGGUGACAGCUAGUAGGCAGUUCUGCUCCAUGUGUCUUCCCAUUCUGGGAUCCAUUCUAAAGGAACAAGUCCUACGUGGAGUUGUUGGAAAAGAGCAAGAAGCUGGUAGAAGCACAUGGUGCUUUUUAGAUUUUUUUUCACUCUGAGAUGACAUACUGUCCCUUCCAUUCAUUUUUCACUGAUCCAAGCAAGUUCAUGGCCACCUGGACAAUGGGGCAAAGCAAUAUAUCCUCUACCCGAAGGCCUACAUGAACGGAAGGCAAGAGAGAUACAGUGGGCCAGGAAGAAAUAAGAUUUGAAAAGACAAAGGCCAGCAAACCAUUCCAUCGAUUGAAAGCAUCACUAAGAGCAUCUCCCUAUUGCAGGAACAGACAUGUGGUGACUUGGAAAUAGUUUUUUAUAGGUAGCUCUUAUUCUUAAAUUCAACAUAAGUUGCCAUUUUGGAAAAUUGAUACAUUAUAUUUAUCACACAGUUAUAAUUUCUAAUGGUUUGAGAAGUCCUAGAACUGACCACAUCAAUACUUGGCAUAUUUUCAAAAUGCAGAGAAAGUGCUGAGACUCCAAAACACCGUGCUGAAUUCUUUAAAACUGAAAAACAACUGGUUUUUUAUAUAAAGUAAAAUAAGAAUCAAAAGGGUGGAAAUGGCUGCAUUUUUGAAAUUCCAUUGUAAAUUAUAGUCUAAAAUACUGUUUUAAAAAACCAGCAUGUUUGCAAAUACAUUUGACUCGCCUUGGAAGUUAGAAAGCCUUACUGUUUGGUUUACUAUUCAGACAGAUUGUAGAUGCUUACAGAAAAUGUAAUUACUUUUUUUAAGCCCCAGUGGGCCAUUUUGAGGACUUCUGUGAUAACUUACUGAAUAUAUUGGAAACUUCCCAUACUUUCCUUAAUACUGGACUAAAUUUGACUGGUAUA